GUGUCAGCAGCCGCGGUAAUACGUAGGAUGCAAGCGUUGUUCGGAAUUACUGGGCGUAAAGAGUACGUAGGCGGUCUGGCAAGUCUGAUAUUAAAGACUGGAGCUUAACUUCAGGACUGUAUCGGAAACUGCCAAACUAGAGGACUAUAGAGGAAGUCGGAAUUCUCAGUGUAGCGGUGAAAUGCGUAGAUAUUGGGAAGAACACCAGUGGCGAAAGCGGACUUCUGGGUAGUUACUGACGCUGAGGUACGAAAGCGUGGGGAGCAAACGGGAUUAGAAACCCUUGUAGUCC
Molecule: ribosomal RNA, 292 nt
Filed under: uncultured bacterium
Lineage: Bacteria
Description: partial 16S ribosomal RNA
Rfam family: Bacterial small subunit ribosomal RNA
Source: RNAcentral